Oncorhynchus mykiss (rainbow trout) is the source of this 873-nucleotide long non-coding RNA. RefSeq lists it as uncharacterized. The record is from RefSeq and is a predicted model, not a curated record. Lineage: Eukaryota; Metazoa; Chordata; Actinopteri; Salmoniformes; Salmonidae.
AAAACUCUUUCUUGUUGUUGUACUUGAGAACAAUUAGAUCUACAGCGCAUUGUCCAUACAAUGAUGGGAUUAUGAGUUUGGGUCGCACGUUCAGACGUUUCGCCUGAGCUCAGCAAAGGCCAGAAGGACGGUGUCCCUCUCGCGCAGCUGACGGGGCUCUUUGCUUGUUCACUGCGCUUUUUCCCGAAAGGGCUCUGGUGACGAUACCAUUCAGAAGCCGGAGCAAUAAAUGAGCGAGUUGGACGCCACAUAAGCACUGAGUUUUGUAAAAGACACACAGACUAUGGAGCGCAGCCAAAAUGCCAGGAACAAAAGGCAACAAAUCUGACAAGAAAUCAGCUACCAAGCAACCUGAGAGUCCUAAGGAGCAACCGAAGAAAGCUGAUCAGAAAGGAGAUGAUAACAAAAAGCAAGGAGGACAGCCGAAGGGCGAGAAGCAAUAAUUUCCAGGUAUUUGUAAAGAUGGCUCUGGUGACUGCUGGGAUCCUGCCAUCACAAGCAUGGGGGUCCUCGGGGUAGACAAGGCUGAAGAACCUCCCUUGGACCUGCAGACAGGCCAUCGCUACACAACUACGCUCACCUCUUCUCACAAGGGCAGAAAGUGACCCACAUUUCCAUCCAUCAGUGAUCCACUGUGUAUGCCCUUUCUUCCCACCCCGUUUCCCCUCCCUCAGUCUGCUCUGGAUUGUAGGAACGCUUGGAAAUGGAUGGUCACGAGGUCAAACUCAGCCAAUGAUCUGAGCUUCCCGAGAAACUGAAACCUUCAUCUACCCAAUUGUUCCCUCUCUUCCCACCCAAAGUUCCUUAUUUUGAUCAACUGUAACAGUCCAAACCAUUCUUGUAAAUAAGCAAAUAAACUAUUAUUUCCUAAAA